AUUGAACGCUGGCGGCAGGCCUAACACAUGCGAGUCGAGCGGAUGCAGGGAGCUUGCUCCUGGAUUCAGCGGCGGACGGGUGCGUAAUGCCUAGGAAUCUGCCUGGUAGUGGGGGAUAACGUUCGGAAAUGGGCGCUAUUACUGAUUCCGUCUAGCGGGAGAAAGCGGGGGAUCUUCGGAUCUCACGCUCUUAGCUUAGGCUAGGUCGGAUUAGCUAGUUGGUGGGGUAAAGGCCUACCAAGGCGACGAUCCGUAACUGGUCUGAGAGGAUGAUCAGUCACACUGGAACUGAGACACGGUCCAGACUCCUACGGGAGGCAGCAGUGGGGAAUAUUGGACAAUGGGCGAAAGCCUGAUCCAGCCAUGCCGCGUGUGUGAAGAAGGUCUUCGGAUUGUAAAGCACUUUAAGUUGGGAGGAAGGGCAGUAAGUUAAUACCUUGCUGUUUUGACGUUACCAACAGAAUAAGCACCGGCUAACUUCGUG
Molecule: ribosomal RNA, 484 nt
Filed under: uncultured bacterium
Lineage: Bacteria
Description: partial 16S ribosomal RNA
Rfam family: Bacterial small subunit ribosomal RNA
Source: RNAcentral